CAUCACCUAGUGGACAAAAGCAGGAAGACACGCUAAAUGACUUCAGUGUACCUGUUGCCACUUGAAUCGUGAUUGUGUCACCUGCUGGAGUAAACUUGGCAAACAUUUGUGCAUGGCUGAAUGUGCGCGUGUGUCUCACCAGUGAUGAAAGCAGGACAGCCAGCGCUGGACUUUUCUCCAACCACCCACAGCUUGCUGGCCUGAAAGACACGGUAAAAAAAAUCCAGGCCUGUGGACAGAAAAGAGAUAAGCAUUAACUUUUGUAUCCACUUUGAAACGUUCAGGCUCAAUUUGAAGACUCUCACCUGCAGACAAAAGACAAUUAAAACGCAUGUGCAUUAUUAUGCAUUUCUUUCAUUGUUUGAACGUGAAUUGUUUUGUCUACUUACCUUGAGCUAACAGCACCGGCGUCCAGAUGACAAAUAAGUGCUUUUUGGUGCAAUUUAUGGCGUCCAUUGCCUUCCAAAAUUUAGCUUGCAUCUUAGCACGCUGUGAGCAAGCCAAAAAGAGAAACUGCACGUUAAAAGUGAGCAAAAGCAGUUAGGUCUUAAAAGCAAGCAAGAAAGUCAUUUGUACUUACCUUGAUUCCAAGAAAGAGAAUACUCACAUAAUCGAAGUUUUAGAUGAGCUGGUGGAAAUGCGUGCAGAGCUGCAGGUGGCGGAGGACUCCGUCAGAGGCGGCGUGCAAGACUGACUGCUUCGUUUGCCCGACUUUUAUAGUGUUCCGGCGAUGACGUCAUUGAAGAAAAAAAAAUGGAAGUAGAUAAAAAAACUUGUGAUGAUGUUCCAACUUCAAGAGAGAGCACGGACUACCACGAUCUACGCGAUAGAAUACAAGGAGAGAGUUUGUCAACUUUGGUACACUUUAUUUGUGAUAAAACAAAUACAUCCAUGGACACAAGCAAAAAUGUUUAUUUCAAUGAUUUCUUCUUUUAGUAAUAAAGAUGAUUUGUUGACAAGGAGAA
Molecule: long non-coding RNA, 965 nt
Organism: Syngnathus typhle (broad-nosed pipefish)
Lineage: Eukaryota; Metazoa; Chordata; Actinopteri; Syngnathiformes; Syngnathidae
Exons: 3
Source: RefSeq, a predicted model, not a curated record